CCCUUAGAUGUUCUGGGCCGCACGCGCGCUACACUGAUGCAUUCAACGAGUGUACCUUGGCCGAGAGGCCUGGGCAAUCUUUUGAACGUGCAUCGUGAUAGGGAUAGAUUAUUGCAAUUAUUAAUCUUGAACGAGGAAUUCCUAGUAAACGCAGAUCAUCAAUCUGCAUUGAUUACGUCCCUGCCCUUUGUACACACCGCCCGUCGCACCUACCGAUUGGACGGUCCGGUGAAGCCUCGGGAUUGUGGCGGUUGCCUUUAUUGGUGUCCGCCGCGAGAACUUGUCUAAACCUUAUCAUCUAGAGGAAGGUGAAGUCGUAACA
This 322-nucleotide ribosomal RNA is filed under the name uncultured eukaryote. Its description in RNAcentral is "partial 18S ribosomal RNA". It matches the Rfam family "Eukaryotic small subunit ribosomal RNA", at positions 1470 to 1796 of the family's 1831-position model. The record is from RNAcentral.